UGUUCGAGCGUCAUUUCACCACUCAAGCCUGGCUUGGUAUUGGGCGCCGCGGUGCAUCCGCGCGCCUCAAAGUCUCCGGCUGAGCUGUCCGUCUCCAAGCGUUGUGAUUUCAUUAAUCGCUUCGGAGCGCGGGUGGUGGCGGCCGUUAAAUCUUUCCAAAGGUUGACCUCGGAUCAGGUAGGGAUACCCGCUGAACUUAA
This 200-nucleotide unclassified non-coding RNA is filed under the name soil metagenome. RNAcentral's name for it is "partial contains internal transcribed spacer 2 and large subunit ribosomal RNA". The record is from RNAcentral.